CCUACGGGAGGCUGCAGUGGGGAAUAUUGCACAAUGGGCGCAAGCCUGAUGCAGCCAUGCCGCGUGUGUGAAGAAGGCCUUCGGGUUGUAAAGCACUUUCAGCGGGGAGGAAGGCGUUAAGGUUAAUAACCUUGGCGAUUGACGUCACCCGCAGAAGAAGCACCGGCUAACUCCGUGCCAGCAGCCGCGGUAAUACGGAGGGUGCAAGCGUUAAUCGGAAUUACUGGGCGUAAAGCGCACGCAGGCGGUCUGUCAAGUCGGAUGUGAAAUCCCCGGGCUCAACCUGGGAACUGCAUUCGAAACUGGCAGGCUAGAGUCUUGUAGAGGGGGGUAGAAUUCCAGGUGUAGCGGUGAAAUGCGUAGAGAUCUGGAGGAAUACCGGUGGCGAAGGCGGCCCCCUGGACAAAGACUGACGCUCAGGUGCGAAAGCGUGGGGAGCAAACAGGAUUAGAUACCCUAGUAGUC
This 465-nucleotide ribosomal RNA is filed under the name uncultured Klebsiella sp. Its description in RNAcentral is "bacterial SSU rRNA". It matches the Rfam family "Bacterial small subunit ribosomal RNA", at positions 338 to 795 of the family's 1533-position model. Lineage: Bacteria; Pseudomonadati; Pseudomonadota; Gammaproteobacteria; Enterobacterales; Enterobacteriaceae. The record is from RNAcentral.